GGAAUAUUGCACAAUGGGGGAAACCCUGAUGCAGCGACGCCGCGUGAGUGAAGAAGUAAUUCGUUACGUAAAGCUCUAGCAGCAGGGAAGAAAUACUGACCUUACGGUCAGCAGACGGUACCUGAGUAAGAAGCCCCGGCUAACUACGUGCCAGCAGCCGCGGUAAUACGUAGGGGGCAAGCGUUAUCCGGAUUUACUGGGUGUAAAGGGAGCGUAGACGGCGUGCCAAGUCUGGUGUGAAAGGCCGGGGCUCAACCCCGGGACUGCAUUGGAAACUGGCAUGCUGGAGUGCCGGAGGGGCAAGCGGAAUUCCUAGUGUAGCGGUGAAAUGCGUAGAUGUUAGGAGGAACACCGGUGGCGAAGGCGGCUUGCUGGACGGUAACUGACGUUGAGGCUCGAAAGCGUGGGGAGCAAACAG
RNAcentral lists this ribosomal RNA (418 nucleotides) under uncultured bacterium. RNAcentral's name for it is "bacterial SSU rRNA". It matches the Rfam family "Bacterial small subunit ribosomal RNA", at positions 358 to 775 of the family's 1533-position model. The record is from RNAcentral.